Molecule: non-coding RNA, 21 nt
Filed under: Caenorhabditis elegans
Lineage: Eukaryota; Metazoa; Nematoda; Chromadorea; Rhabditida; Rhabditidae
Source: RNAcentral
UCUUGCCUUCACACCAUUUUC